UAUGAUCACAUCACGCUGAAAUACAGGUUCUUGUACGAUCACCGAAGUUAAGCAACGUUGAACUUGGUCAGUAUCGGGAUGGGUGGCAGCUUGUGAAUACCAGAUGCUACAA
Molecule: non-coding RNA, 112 nt
Organism: Acanthosepion pharaonis
Lineage: Eukaryota; Metazoa; Mollusca; Cephalopoda; Sepiida; Sepiidae
Source: the annotation of a GenBank genome assembly